Molecule: ribosomal RNA, 499 nt
Filed under: Pseudidiomarina sediminum
Lineage: Bacteria; Pseudomonadati; Pseudomonadota; Gammaproteobacteria; Alteromonadales; Idiomarinaceae
Description: bacterial SSU rRNA
Rfam family: Bacterial small subunit ribosomal RNA
Source: RNAcentral
GCCAGUGGGGCAGCUACACAUGCAAGUCGAGCGGUAACAGGAAGAAGCUUGCUUCUUUGCUGACGAGCGGCGGACGGGUGAGUAAUACUUGGGAACUUGCCUUUAGGAGGGGGAUAACCGCUGGAAACGGUGGCUAAUACCGCAUAAUGUCUACGGACCAAAGCAGGGGCUCUUCGGACCUUGCACCUAAAGAUAGGCCCAAGCGAGAUUAGCUAGUUGGUGGGGUAAAGGCCCACCAAGGCGACGAUCUCUAGCUGUUCUGAGAGGAUGAUCAGCCACACUGGGACUGAGACACGGCCCAGACUCCUACGGGAGGCAGCAGUGGGGAAUAUUGCACAAUGGGGGAAACCCUGAUGCAGCCAUGCCGCGUGUGUGAAGAAGGCCUUCGGGUUGUAAAGCACUUUCAGUGGUGAGGAAGGCCGUAAGAUUAAUACUCUUGCGGAUUGACGUUAACCACAGAAGAAGCACCGGCUAACUCCGUGCCAGCAGCCGCGGUAAU